AAAUUGAAGAGUUUGAUCAUGGCUCAGAUUGAACGCUGGCGGCAGGCCUAACACAUGCAAGUCGAACGGUAGCACAGAGAGCUUGCUCUCGGGUGACGAGUGGCGGACGGGUGAGUAAUGUCUGGGAAACUGCCUGAUGGAGGGGGAUAACUACUGGAAACGGUGGCUAAUACCGCAUAACGUCGAAAGACCAAAGAGGGGGACCUUCGGGCCUCUUGCCAUCAGAUGUGCCCAGAUGGG
This 240-nucleotide ribosomal RNA is filed under the name Salmonella enterica. RNAcentral's name for it is "partial 16S ribosomal RNA". It matches the Rfam family "Bacterial small subunit ribosomal RNA", at positions 1 to 239 of the family's 1533-position model. Lineage: Bacteria; Pseudomonadati; Pseudomonadota; Gammaproteobacteria; Enterobacterales; Enterobacteriaceae. The record is from RNAcentral.